GUGCCAUAUCGAGCAUGACUUUCAUCCUCUGGAUCUACAGACAUCAAGAGAGAUAGGAGGAUCCCCUUCCACGUCUGCAGCUUAUGGGGUUUUCAGGGAGGAAGGAAGAAACAAGAAUGAGAAGACUAUUUCUGCAGAACAUCGAGAUAUUUCAUGAAUCACAUGCUCUUACUGAGGAAGAAGAGACAGCGAAAAGGAAGCAAUGAUGAAGAACUCAAGCAUGUGUUCCUUCAGACAUCUUUACAACUAAACAUCACUUAUUUAUCACUUCAUAAGCUCAAAUUGAGGGUACCUACUUUGCCACAGAAGCGGCCCUGGCAAGGAGUUUCAACUGACAGAACUCAGCUAGCAAAAGAAGAUAAACAGAGAAGUAAGACUGCCUGUUGCUGGUGUCAUUGGCAAACCAAGAUCUUGCUGCUCAACUGUUACGUGCUCAACAGAUGGGUAUUUGCUAUAUGGAAGUGGAGAACACAUGCAUUUACCUGGCUACUCAGCCUGUACAGAAAGAGAUUACAGUGACUAAGAGCAGCAGGGCCUAAGGAACUGCUGAGGCAGUUAAUCAACAUGACUGCACUUUCCCAGAACACGGAGAAAACAUCCAAGUUUUGCUACAAUGGACUUUAAGAUCUUACAUACACCUCGGAGUCUGGAGCUAUGGCAUUCCUCCAAAAUAGUUCACAGUUUUUGCAGUUGAAACGUUACUGCAAAAUGGCACUAAAGUGCAUAAGUAAGUAUCUGAAUGUUUGCUGGGCUAAAAGGUGCUGUGCAAGCUUAAGUUACUGCUUUGCCAUUAUAUACAAGAUCAUUUUUCUUUGGGAAGGGGUGCUAGUUCUGGAAAUACCACUGAUUUUAAUUUUGAUGGAGGAUUGUCUACCUUUCACCUUUUUAAAAGAUGUACAGAUCCCC
RNAcentral lists this long non-coding RNA (906 nucleotides) under Gallus gallus (chicken). RNAcentral's name for it is "long non-coding RNA NONGGAT008573". The record is from RNAcentral. Lineage: Eukaryota; Metazoa; Chordata; Aves; Galliformes; Phasianidae.